CCUGCUCUUCCUUUUUCUCAGAAAGGGAAGUUGUGGUUCAGAGGGUCCCUUUUGGCAUCAGUCUGGGCUGCCCUGAAAGAUGGGGCAAGGGUCAAUGUAGGUAAAGUGUUUCCUACAAUUUCUCUAUGCAGCCAUCCCUGGCUGUUGUGCUCCACUGGGUUGCUGCAGCUUCUUAUACUCUGGAGCUUUCUCAGAACUAUUUCCCUUCCUGAGUAGUUGUUAAAAUGUUCCUAUGGGGGGAUGAGGGUUGGGACCUCCUGGUCUGACAUUACCCAUAAGAAACCACUCCUUCAAUUUCUUACAGGAGGUAUCAGUCAGAGGUAGAAAAAGAAAGCAAUGUAAAGGUACGUGGAUUGGAAAGGAAGGUACAAAACUGUCAUUAUUUGUACAUAUUAUGAUUGUCUAUAUAGAAAGCUCCCCAUCCAAAUUACAGAUGAAUUACAAGUAAACUAUUUUAAUUGCUAAGAGUUAGCAAAUUUGUUGGGCACUAAUCCAAUAUGUAAAAGUGAAUUUUAUGUCUCUGCAAUAGCCAUUAGAAGUUAGAAAAUGAAAUUUUAACAAUAAAGAUAGUUCUUAAAAUAGCAAUAAAAUAUAAAAUAUAUAGGGAAAAAUCUCACACAAGACAUGCAAGCCUUUUAUGUAGAAAUUCAUGAAACUUAAAUAAGUGGAGAAAGAGAAUAUGUUCUAAGAAAACUAAAAAUGGUAAUGAUUUAUAGAUUUUAAUGCUAUUCCAAAAAAAAAAAUUCCAACAGGACUUUUCAUGAACCUUCACAAUCUGAUCCACCCCCAAACAGUCACUACUGAACAUGUUCCACCAAUGUCAAGUCUGAUUAUAAAGGUGAAGGCAGUGUGCAGUGAAAUUCAGGGAUAUACAAAUAGGCCAAUGUAACAUAAUAGUGUGUCCAGAAACAGGUAUGUCCAAAUAUGACAAAGAUAAUUUUGCCUAACAAUGGGUGAAGAAUGGACUUUUCAACAAAUGCCCUCGAAGCAAUUGUAUAACCAUAUUGGGGGAAAAAUGAAAUUAUUGAAGUACUACUCAUACUUUAACAUACAGAAAGAUCAAUUUCAGUCGGAUUAAAUAAUAAAUGUGAAAGGAUAAAGCUAAAAGCAUGUUAGAAAAACAUGUAGGAGAAUGUCUUUUUAUGACCCCAGUAUCAUAAGGUCUUAUUUCUUAAUUUAGUAAAUUAUAGUCAUAAGGGAAACUAUUAUUGAAUUGGAUUGCUUUAAAAUUAAGAAUUUAUAAUCAUCAAAGACACCAUAAGGAAAGCAAAAAUUAUCUCACAAAGUAAGAGAAAAUAUUUCCAAUGCAUAUAACCAAAGAAGGAUUAGUAUCCAGAAUGUAUGAGGACCCCCAACAAAUGAAUAAGAGAUACCUUAACAGAAACAUAAGCAAAAACAUAAAUGAUGUUUUGCAGAAGGGAAAUGAUUAAUAUGCUAAAAAUGAAAUUUUAAAAGCAUAAUUUCAUUAUUAAUCAAGUGCAAAUUAAACUACAAUAUGAUUUUGCACCUACUGUUAGGAAAACAAGAAAAAGUCUACAAAUAGCAAUGCUUGGAAAGGUUAUGGAAGAGCAAACACCCACAUCUGUCGGAGGUAGGAGUUUUCAGUUGGCUCUGGCCAAGAGUUUGGCAUUUCUUAGCAACGUUGCACAUGCACAUAACCUACAACCAGAAAUUGUAUUUCUAAAUAUGUACGCUAGAGGAAUUCUUGCACUCAUGCCCAAGAAAAACUUACAAGAAUGGUCACAGAAGCAUUAUUCAUAAGCAAAAACCCUUCAAACUAUCCAAAUAUUCAGCAACAGUAAAGUUGACCAAUUUUAAUAUAUUCUUAUAGUGAAUUAACUAAUAUACAGCAAUAAAAAUUAAAGCUCCAAGGAUUAUGAAUCUCACAACAGUUUUUUUAGCAACAGAAGCAAAUAGUAGAAUGCAUACCUUAUGAUUCUGUUUAUAAAAAGUUCAAAUCAGGCAACGCGCACAACAUACUGUUUUGGAUUAUAUACCUAGAGGAAAACCGUAAGGCAGAGAUAAACAAAGUUUUAGAAUUGAGGUUAUCUUUUGUUUUUGUUUUUUGAUUUUUUUUUCAGUUAAUUUAUUUUGAGAGAGAGAGAGAGAGAGAAGGCAUGAGUGGGGGAGGGGCAGAAAGAGGAGAGAGAUAAUCCCAAGCAGGCUCCGUAUUGUCAGCACAGAGCCUGAUGCGGGCUCGAACUUAGGAACCGUGAGAUCAUGACCUGAGCUGAAGUCAGACAUUCAACCAACUGAGCCACCCAAGUGCCCCUUAAGGUUGCCUUUUGGAGAUAGAGGAAGGAGACAAUACCACUGAGGAGGAGAAUCAGAAGACCUGUUUUAUUUCUUGAGCUGGCUAGUGCGCAGAUCUUUUAUUCAUUUCAUUAUUUUAAAAACUCCUUAUAAAACUAUUUAUAGGUUUUAUGUACUCUUCUGGUUGUGUAAAUUAUGUCACCGUAAAAAAUUUAAAAACAAAUAACCUCUUGUACCUCAUCUCCCUCAAGAUUCUGAUGAGUUUCAGCCCUUGAGAGAUGUGCCCAUUUUACAAAUCCCUAUGUAGCCUUGCCAAAACAGAUUUUGGUUUCUUUCCUUGGUUUAAGAAAACAAUGGGUAUUUUUGUUUUUCAAAUGUAAUAUUAGAUGUUAUACCAUAUCGAAUAUGCCUUAUCUAAUUGUGUAUACCUAUCCUCUAUUUUUUCUCCUCCCACCAACUACCUCCUCCCAUAUCCACCCUCAACCCUUGAGAAUUUCCAUACAGUAGCCAUAUUUGCAGUCAGGGAUUAAUAGUAGAAAAAUUUGCAAAUAUUAACUUUCUGAUCUAACAAUCCCAUCUGUGUCUCCUCAUCCUGUAAACAUUCUAUUUGACAGUACUGUUGAAAUCUAGUUUUCCUCUUUCAUUUUAUAAUUAACUUGCAAUGUAUUAUCUCUAAAUCCACAGUGAGCCUGGGAUAUAAGUAAUUUGCUUCACAAGGUCGUGUUUCUCACAUUCCAGAUAUUAAUACAGGUCUUAACCCUUGAUCAGCUUUAAGAGUAACAACAACACACUAAUACUUAUCACAUCUAUCACAUGUGUUGCAGAACCAUAGUUGGUAAAGAGUAACUAUAGAUAGACUAACCAUAUGAUGGAUUAUCCAAACACUUUUAGGAGUGAAAGGGGGCACUAUUAAGAAUUGUUCUGGGAUGACAGGCAUAAAUUAGAAUAGUCCUAGGCAAAUUGGGAUGUAGGGUCAUCCUAAUCAUAGAGAAAUCUAGCUCAAUGAGUGCACAGAUGAAGACACAUCUGGUUUAGUGCACGUCCCAUUUUAGCAAUUAAAACAUUGUAAACAGAAACUAUCCUGGCUUAAGAAAUGUGCCCUGCCAUCACUGUAGUUCUUAACCAGAACUCUUGGCAGAUGUGUUUGCUAGGCUUCAUUGACACCAAUAAUGGAAUGCUUAUUUAUCAAGAGGGUUUUUCUCAGCAUCCAUGCAAAGUAACAUGUGCCCAACUAAUCUAUUACAGAAAGAUGGUUUUGUAUUUUUUCUUUUUAAAUGGCUGAUUAUUACCUGAAGCAGCAUAAAUAUAGUAACUUGGGUCCUAUUCUAAAUGGGCUUAAAAUCUAGAUAAAUGGUUUAGAUAUAAGACAAGAUGAAUAAAAAUUCUUUCUGGAGAUGAUAUGGAAAGUAUUUUUACAGGUUUAUAAGUAAUAAUAAAAUAAUGAGAAUGAGCCUUUACGGAGUUCAUACUACGUACCAAACACUGAGUUCUAUUCAUAUAGCACAUAAUCUUCUUAACAGUCAUAUUAAAAAGUUACUAUUUCUCUCAUUCAGGUGAGGAAACUGUUAAGGGAUUUGCCUAAAGUUACAUAAAUUGUGGAAUUAAGGAUAUAAUUUCAGGUCUGUCUGAUCAGAAGUCUGUCUACUAUCUAUUAGGCCUACUGAUUGGGGUUUUUCCUUUAUGAUUUAUAUUGCCAAUGUAUCUCUACUGAUACGGAGGUCAGGCUUCCUUUGGACAUUCAUAAGGUGGCUCUUCCAUUUCCACUAUACAACUACUAUUGGAAUGAUCAGGUUGAUUUUAGGAAACAUUUUCCCAUGAUUUGGAAUGAUUUUUAUAUCUGUCACCAAUGACACCUAAAAAUCAAAUGAGGAAACAAACAAAAUAUUUUUAAAAAUCAAAUGGAACUUCUAGGGAAAAUUACAAUAUAUGAGGGAGAGAAAAAAACACUGGGUAGGCUUAACAGAAUAUUAGACACUAUAUAAAAUUAAAAAUUAAUGAAUUUGAAGACAUAGCAAUAGAUACUACCCAAAUCAAAUUUCAAAAGAAAAAAAUCUGAACAUAAACAGACCUUCCAUGACUUGUAUGAAAUAUCAAGGGUGCCUGGGUGGCUCAGUCGUUUGAACAUCCAACUCUUGAUUUCAGCUCAGGUCCUGAUAUCAAAGUCAUGGGAUCAAGCCCUGUGUCAGACUGUGCACAGAGCAUGCAGCUUGCUUAAGAUUCUCUCUUUCUCUCUCCCUCUGCCCCUCUCCCCUGCUCACUCUCUCUUUCUCUUUCUCUCUCUCAUGUAUAAAUAAAUAAAUAAAAUAAAAUAAAAUAAAAUAAAAUAAAAUAAAAUAAAAUAAAAUAAAAAUACAUAUAACUUGAGUUCCUGAGGAAAGUUAGUGGUUGGAGUGUGAGGAGGGAGAAAACAGUAUUUGCAGACUAUAAUAGGUGAAAUUUUCCCAAAUUUGAUGCAAACUGUAAACCUAGUAAUCCAAGAAGUUCAAUAAAUGCCAAGCAAAAUAUAAAUAAGAUCGUAACAGGCAUGUCAUAAUCAGCUUGCUGAAAACCUGUGGUGUAGGGGGAAUUUUAAAGCAGCCAGUGAAAAAGACACAUUCCAUAUAGGAAAGACAAGAUAACUGCUAACUUCUCUGUGGAAACAAUGCAAACCUGAAGACAAUGGAAUGUCACCUUUAAUAUGAUAAUGAAUAAAUCUGUCAGCUGAGAAUUCUAUAUUCAGUGAAAAUAUCCCUCAAAAACAGAGUUAAGGUAAGAUUUUCCUACAAAGAAAGUUCAUAGUUAAUUGUCAGCAGAUCUGCAUGACAAUAAAUAUUUUAAAAGUUCUUCAGGCUGAAAGAAAUAAUUCCAGAUGGAAACUCAGAUCUAUACAAAGGAAUGAAGAGUGCCAGAAAUAAUGAACAUUCAGGUAAAUAUAUAAAAUUUUUCCUUCAAUUUUUUUUCAUUUAAAAGAAAAUUGGAUGUUUGUAGCAAAAAUAACACGUUUUGGUAUUUAUCCAGAUGGACACUCAGAUCUACACAAAGGAAUGAAGAGUGUCAGAAAUAGUAAACAUGUAGGUAAAUAUAUAAAAUGUAUUCCUCAUUUUAUUCAUUUAAAAUGCAAUUGGAAAGGGUUGCCUGGGUGGCUCAGUUGGUUAAGCGUCCAACUCUUGAUUUUAGCUCAGUGCAUGAUCUCAGGGUUCAUGCGAUUAUGAUUCUCUCUCCUUCUCUUUCUACCCCUCCUCUACUCACGUGUACUCUCUCUCUCAAAAUAAAUAAACUUUAAACAAUAAAAUAAAAUUGGAUGUUUGUAGCAAAAAUAACAUGCUUCAGUAUUUAUUACAUAUGUAGAAAUAAAGUAUACAGUAGUACCAAGGAUAGAGGGAGAAUUGAAAUUAUACUGUUGUAAGCUUCUCACAUUACACACAAAGUAAUACUAUAAUAUUUGAAGGUAGGCUGUAAUAUGUUUAAGAUAUAUGUAGUAAACCCCAGAACAAGCACUAAAACAAACAAACAAACAAAUAGGUGUAGAAGGGAAUAUAGGACACAGAAUACUAAGAAAUACUCAACUAAUCCAAAAGAGAAAAAGAACUGAAAUAAAUGAAAAAUAGAACACAAAUAGCAAAAUGGCAGAUUUACAUCCAACCAUACUGAUAAUUAUAUUUAUUGUGACUUUUUUCAGACUGGAUAAAAAAGGCAGAUCUAAAUAAAUACUGUCUAUAAUAUACAAAAUUUUAAUAUAAAGGCACAAUUAGGUUAAAAGUAAAAGGAGGAAAAAGAUAUACCAUGCAAACAUUAAUCAUAUAUAAGCCAGAGUGACUAUAUAAAUGUCAGAGAAAGUAGACUUCAGAACAGAUUGUCAGAAAUAAAGAGGGACACUGAAUAACAAUAAAAGGACAAUAUGUUAGGAAGACAUAACAAUUUUAAAUGUGUAUGCAUCCAAUAACAGAACUUCAAAACACAUAAGCAAACACUGGCAGUUAAAAACAAAAACAAAAAACACAAAACAAACAAAAACCAGAUCUACAAUUAAAAUUUGGAGAUUUCAGUAAUCUCUCAAAAAUUGAGAGGACAAAUGGACAGAACAUUAAUAAGGAUAUAGAAGACAUGAACAACCUUAUCAGCCUAAUUAACAUCUGUAAAACAGCACAUUUAACAAUAACAAUACACAUGAUUUUUUAAGUGGCCAAUAGAAUAUCCACCUAGGUUGAUCACAUGCUUGGCCAUAAAAUAAGUCUCAACAAAUUUCUGAAACUCCAUUCUUAGCAUAUGUAAAAAAGAGUAAAAACACCUACCUCAGCCAGUUGUUGUGCAGACUAGGCUUAGUUAAAAUAUAUCAAUCUUUUGCUGUGAGGUUUGCCACAUAAGUAGAAACUCAAAUGAUUCUAUUUCAUUUCUUUCCCUCUCACAUAUUUUAAAACAUAGUCAUUAAACUUUAUCAGAAACAAGGUAUUUAACCUCACAGGUCAAGCUAUCAACGUUUUAUUUAAUGUUAUUUAGUGUUAAAAUUACAUUUCUAUAAAGCCAUGUAUUCAACUGAAUAUCCCUUAAAUAAAUACAAUCGUUCUUAUAUUAUCAGCAAACUAAACAUCAACAAUUACACUUGCUACUGUGCUUACCUUUGAGUUCCUCUAAAGCUCCUCUGUAUUUUAUUGCUGUAUAAAUAUUUAGAAGACUUUAAAAGGCUAAUUUCAGAUUUGGGCCUUCUCUGUUCAACAGUUUAUAUUUUAAAACCUUUUAUACAGUUCAUAUUCUUAUUUGUGAAACCUAGUGCAGCUCUCAUAUUGAUACUAUUUACAUUUUGGGGGGGGCGUAAUGUGGCAUAGGUUUAUAAAACCUUCCAUUUAAAUUUUUGAUGUGAUUAGCUGCUUUUAAUUACAUCUGAAAAUCCCUUGCCAAAUAAUGAUUACAACAUACAGAAAGGGUAUGGUUGAGACAUAAGCAAAGCAAAACAGAUCUAUGUGAAAACUGCUUCAAGCAGUGUAACAAAAGUAAAACCACUUAAUUUGUACAUAUGUGGAGGAUUUAAUCCAAAUUGAAAUAGAACAAAAGAUAAGUAAAGUGAGAAAGGUAGAUAAGAGAACUUUAAUGUGCACAAGUUCAAAUGCUGUUUUGUUUUUUAAAAUCAGAGCAUAAUUGAUUCUUCUGGGGAAAGUUUUGGAGGAAAAAAUAAAACUCAUAUAUAAUUAUGGUUCACAGCAAAUUGCAUUUACUGCCUAUUGAGCAAACUCAAUUGGUUUGCUAAACCACAGUGUUUCCCACCUCUGUCAGUGAGAGAUCCAACUCUCCCAUCACUGGCUCUCUAAGAGGCAAAUACUUAAGCACAUUUUGGGUCUUCUGUGUGUUAGGUUUUUCAGGCAGUCACUCUCCUCUUUUUCAGUGGAUCCCCAUAGCUUUCAUAUUAAAUUCAAAUUUACAACCUUGGUGGAUCCAGGUUCCUUCUCAACAUUCUCUGGCUUCUCUCCCGGCAUCCUCCACCCACCACACAUACCCAUCACUCUGGCCACACAGCACUCACACUUCCUGGGCAUAUGGUUCUAUGCCUUGUGGGCUCACUCACUCAUUCAUCCUUUCAGUCAUUCCAUCAUUCAUCCCACGAAAUAUCUAUGGGCACUAUGCUUAGUGGUGGGGGUAUAAUAGGAAGACUGAAAGAAACCCUGUCCCUGCUCUCAGGGGGUUACAUCCAAGUGGAGGAAAUAGACACUAAUUGAAGAAUCCCACAGGAACUGUAAAAUGACUGUUCUCAUGGGUGAUGCAGCCCCUGUAAAAUACAGGGACUCCAUGUGGUUGGAAAGUCGGGAAUGCUUCUCUGAGGAAGUGAAUGUGGCCCUAACACAGAAGAAAGAGCAGCAGUUCCCUGGGAGAAGGCAGAGCCCUGUGGGUUAGAAGGAAGGAGAGAAGGCGGAUAUAGCAGGUCCACAGGAGGAAGAAAGCACAGUGAGGCUGGCCUGCUCAAAGGGAGAUAGACCAGGUCCCCUGAAGUCCUGUGAUAUUUAUCCCAUUAGUAAUCCAUUCCAGUGGCUCUGCCUUUCCUCCAGACAUUCCUGUCCUAUCACCUUCAUCUUUUGGGGCUCAGCUGAAGUGUCCCCUUCUCUGGGAAGACUUUGGCACCCCACCAUCUCUGGAGGGUGUAGUGUCCUCCUUUCAGAACUCUGGCCUGUUGACCUGUGCAUCCUCAGCUGCUUUUGCAGGCUCUGCCAUGGAGGAAUGGGUAUGUGAGAAAGCUGGGUUAAGCAUGAUUGGAAGCUUUGUUCGCUGAGCAUGUAGAGAGGCAACUUGGUCGUGUGAAUGCAACUUUCAGGGGGUCUCUAACUUUUCCAGCACGAGUUCAGGGCCUCUUUCCCCCCAGAAGAUCCCUCCCUUUUAAUUCAAACCAACCCCAGCUUGAUGGAAUUUCAGAUGGUAAGGAAACACUGGAUAUGAUGUGGAAGCAUGUGGUUUGUGCAGAAGAACUCAACCAUGACUUACUCCACACUGCGGGUGCCAUCCCGAUUCUCAUCAGCUUUCCCAGCUUGGUGUUCUGAUGAUGAAGAUUAUUAAAAGGAUCCUGGAGAGAGAGGCCGUUCCCUGUUGGGAAUGUUCCAGUGAGCAAGUGGGGAACCGGGAUGGAGAAUCACAGCCACUAAUUGGGGCAUAGAUGGAACAAAUUCCUUCUUAUUGCAGAAAGGUAUUGUAUUUCACAUUGAGGGAAAGGAGAGAUUUGCCUACAAAUUAGGCUGGAAACUGUAGAGAAGAAACUGUUUGCUGGCCAAACUGGUAUGCCAGGACUGUAAUGAAAUAUGACAUAAGGAGAAGGCGGUAGGUGCUCAAAUAAGAAAGUGCGUUUUCUUUAGUAUUUCCUUUACUGUCCUUUUGAAGGCUUGAGUCCCUUCUGUUGCUGUGUUUCUUGGCACCUACCAAAUAUUCUUUUCGGUGAUCAUUAACUCCUUUGCUCAGCAGUUGCUCCCAAGAAGAAGCAUCAAAAACUCUGAGAAAUGUUCAUUACUCAUGGUUCUGCUGAUGCCAUAGAGAAGAGAGUGAAAGCUGCUUUACGUUUAUUUCAGAAUCAUAAUGUGAAUGGAAAGGUUUUUUGAACAUUAUUUUUUGUUUGAAAACAAGGUUAGACACACAGCCCAGAGCCUCUGGUGCCACACCUGCCCAGCACUGAUCCUCCCAGCAAACCCUUAUUCCCACCCUGUAUCUUCUCCAUCCUGCCUGGCAACCCCUCCUCCCCAGAGUCAUUGCUCCCCACCCGUGGGUGCCCCUGUGGCUUGUUCAUUUGUUCUGGCUUGACUUGCCUCUCUGCCUUGCCCUCCCUUUGGAUUUGCCUGUGCCUGGAUUUUCCUGUCUCAGAAUAACCCAUUUGGGCUUAGGGGUUGGGCUUCAGAACUACCACUGCCCAUCAUCCCCGGACUCUUGGCCACAGUACUUCCUCUCCCAUCAGUCCCAGUCAGUCCAUGACAGUAAAUGAAAAUAAUUACCUAAGGUCCUUUGUGUGUUGGCUUUAACAUAUACAACUUAUAAAAAAUCUACACUUCUACACCCAAGGUAUUCUUUAUGGAAACACACACAUACACAGUGGAAAUACAGACAGAUGUUAAAAGUAUUGAACGGAUUUGUGGUUUAUUUGGGGGUGAAUUUGAAUGAAGGGAAUGCCUAAAGUCUGUUAAGACUUUGUUUUCCUUUGACCAUUAAGGAAGAAUUUCUUUGGUUUGUGACAAGGGAGCACUGAAACCUUUCAAGUGGGUGAGUGGUGGGCAUUCUAACCCCUUCUAAAGCACUUGCAUGACCCAAUCAGGUGAUUCAAAGUUGGAUUAAUCUAACCAAACAAGAGCAGUGAAUUAAGACAUUUUGCAUGGGGGAUAUCCCUUGCCUGAAUCCUUAAUCCCUGAAAGAGCCACUGGCAUGGUGCUCAGUGAAGCAUUCAUUGUCUUUACAGGGAAUUUUUUUCUCUUCAUCUGUUACUUCUGAUUCAGUUGAACUGGUUUUAUUUUUCUUAAGGCAAAGUACAAAUACAGUCACUGAUUUCACUAGAAAACAGUUUUAUAUAGUUUUUUUUUAAAGCUUAAAGAAAAGACUUGGAAAAAACUUUUAAAAAUUGAUUUUCUUUAUAGAAAACUGCUAGAUCUAUUUUAGGGGACUGCAUUUUGGGACUAUUUCUCAGGAAAAAUUGUAGUAAUCAGCAGACAGAUUUUGAAAGCUGGGGACUCAUGAACAAUAUGAACACUUGUUUUGCAUUUGAAGUUGGUAAAGUUAACUUUCUUUUUUUCAGGCUUGAAAAAUAUUGGGAUAGGGAUUAAGAGAGGAACCCUUUAUCAGAUAUGUGAAAAUAUAGACCAUAUUUCUGCAGUGUGGCAUUACAAGGAGAUCGAAGGUCGGAGACACUGACUGCUAAUGGAAGAACUACUACUUGAAAAGCACUAUCCGUCCAUUUUCUCAUCAGAUCCUCAACAACUCUACAAGGUAAAGCUGUCUGCAAUUGAAUGUUAAGUUGAUGGUUCAAAGGCAGCACCAGAAGAUGAGGCAUAUUCCUGAGAGCUGGAACCCUGGGCUCCAUAAAAUUUCAGUUUCCCACCAUCAACUGCGGUCCCAGAAGCAGAUGAUCCUCCUUCUGAUGAAUCAUCAGACAGUCAGUAGUCACCGAACUUAUGCCACGAUACCUACAUCAUCCGCCCAGCUUCACCUCAUCUCGUAGGCAUUUUAUCAGCUUACGUCAUGGCAAGAAGGGUGAGUACAGUACUAUAAGACAUAUUGAGAGGGAGAGAAGCAGCAUUUUCACAUAACCUUUAUUAUAGCAUAUUGUUAUAACUGUUCUAUCUUAUUAGUUAUUGCUGUUCAUCUCGUACUGUGCCAAAUUCAUAAAUGUAACUCAUCAAAGGUCUGUAUGUAUAGGAAAAAGCAGUAUACAUAGGGCUCAUCACUAUCCAUGGGUUCAGGCACCCACUAGGGGUUUGGAACAUAUCCACCUCAGAUGAGGGGACAAUUGAAAUGCAAAUAGAUUUGUUUUUGUAACUUCUAAAGUUUAUCUGCAAGCAUAGGUGCACAUGAAUAACAAAAACAUAUGUAAAAGGAAGAAAUUGGAGGGGAACCUUACAGUGAAAGGUAGUAAAUUGUAACAUAAAGUUGCAUUCAAAUAAACAUGCAGAACCUGAAACAGAAUAGAUGGAAUAACUAAAUGGACCCCCAAAGCAAGGAUAUGUCUAUUUUCUGUACCUGGGGGAAAAAACCGAGCAUUUAAAAAUAAUGUGAAUGAAGGAUUAUCCAAUAAAUGAUGCUAGAAUAAUUUUUACUUAAAAAAGCAAGUUAAUCCUUUACCUCUCACCAUACACUGAAAGAAAUCCCAGGAAGAUCAAAAAUCAAAAAGAUAAGCAUACCAUAAAAGCACCAGAGGAAACGUUAGUUAACUAUUCAUGUAAUCUGGGUAUGUGGUGGGUCUUUUCAGGCAUUACCCUAAGACAGAAACCAUGAAAAAUGUUUAGAUAUGGAACUACAUGAAUAUAAAAUUAUGCAUAAAAAGUUAUCAUAAACAAAAUGAAAAGCAAAUAGUAAAACUGAGAAAAAUAUUUAUAACAUAUCAGACAAAUAGGAAAUUACUAUCUUCAAUAUGUAAAGAAUCAUCACAAGUUUAUAAGAAAAAAAGAAACACUAUAAUAGAAAUAAAGGGGCAAAGGCUAUUAAUAGGCAGUUCACAGUGAAGGAAUAGAAAUGGCAAUACAAAUAUGAAAAUGUAUUUAAUAUUCCUUAUAAUCAAAGAAGUGCAAAUUUAAAUAAGUUACCCUAAGGAAUAAGAUAUUUUUUUACUUUAUAAAUGUCUAUAUUCCUGAAUAAAUUUAAAGAAGGGCAUUCAACUAAAAUAACAAGAAUAAAGCAUGUUACUGUGAAAUCUGUGUAAAUCUGUAAAGCACUUACCAUCUUUUUGAUGGUAAGGCAGCCUAGGAUUUUUCUAUCUUGUGCCUUGAGAGUGACCUAUAGGAGUAUAUUUAUUGGAAAAAUUAUCUGCCAAUAAAUACACCGUUAAGAGAAAAAAGUAGCCAAUAGAUCAGAAUGUGUGAUAAGACAUUUCACAUUUUGGCAAAAAUAUAUGUAGAAAUAUAAAAAACCAUGUAGAAGAAAAUCUUAAUACAUAUAAAAUAAAAUGUUGACAGGUGUUGUCUCUAGGUAUUAGAAAUAUGGGUAGUGAAAAUUUUUUAAAUUUAAAUGUAAACAUUUUUCUUACUUGUGCUUGUCUAUUUCCUAAUUUUUCGGCCAUGGGUUUGUAUUGCCCUUUA
Long non-coding RNA from Acinonyx jubatus (cheetah), 12476 nucleotides. RefSeq lists it as uncharacterized. The record is from RefSeq and is a predicted model, not a curated record. Lineage: Eukaryota; Metazoa; Chordata; Mammalia; Carnivora; Felidae. The transcript is spliced from 5 exons.